GCAGCUUCCUGGUGGAGUCAUCAGUUCAGCACAGAAAGUCCUCCAGAAGCCAAGCUCAUCUGAACUGUACACACCACACCUGACUUCCUCAUUCCAUGCCCUCAGGCUUUUGCAUAGAUCACUCUUCUCUCUUUGAAAUGCCCUCCUGCCUCCUUUCACACUGGUCUCCUUCCAAAGCCAGCUCAGAGCUUGGAGAAAUUUGGUUAAUUCACCUGACUUAUGCAAGAGAAUCACUCAGAGCUGAGAAAUGGAUCUUGUUGAUUUAGCCCCUCUUGGAAAGACAGGGGACAGAUGUACAUCUGAAGCACUUCCCAGUCAUCAAUAACUCAUCCUGUCAAAAGGCUGACCCUCAUCCCUGGAAUGCACUUUCUCAUCACCUCUGGAUUUUGGACCAUUUGCACCAUUUGCAAGAAAGAAGAGCAACCCCAGAAAUAGUCAUCUUUCUCCACCUUUCUCUUUCUUUCCCCUGUCUGCCCUCUGGUGGAAGUGUGAAUGAGCAAGAAAAUGAUCCAAAGAAGAGCAAAGUAAUGAGUGUGUAACUUGAUCCUUGUUCACUAAGAUAGAAUUCCUUGAUUCAUUCAUAUACCAAGCAUUAAUUAAGCCCCCACUAUGUGCUAAGAAUGGAUGUGCAGUAGAGUAUGACUGAGUGUCCUGGCACACCAUAGGGAUGCUUUCCCCUGAGCUUCUUUAACUGAUACUUGUAUGGUUACUAUCUUGAGGACCCCUCAUCAGCCUAUUCACCCUGAAAUUUCAUUGGAAUUCCACCUGAGGGCAUUUCUUGAGAGAAGAGAAAGUACCCAUAGGAUUGUACCUUCAGGGAGUAUCCCUUUCUGGCCCACUACACACAUCUGUGGUUCAAAGCAUUAUUCUAGAUGCUAGAGGAAUUGCAAAUUUUUAAAAAGUGAUUGUACCUCCCGUGCUUACUAUCUAGCAUUUGUCCUUCUUUAAACAACUCCUGGAUAAUUCCCAUUGCACAUCUCAGGAUUUUUUAAAAGCUUAUCUGGGAUGGAGUCUUGGUUCCCAGCAGGAAGAUAUAUGCAAUGACCUCUUAAGAGUCUUUUCAUAUCUAUUAUGUCAUCAUUUCUGUAGGCACUGGAAAGACAGCUCUAUAAACCUGGAUGGAGAUAGUUCUUCCUUCUCCCCUCAGAACAUACAUUUCUUUCCUAGCAAGGGAGAUAUUCCAAAGUAUAUUUUUUUUCAUCCCAGUCAAAACUCUA
This is a long non-coding RNA of Antechinus flavipes (yellow-footed antechinus), 1217 nucleotides long. RefSeq lists it as uncharacterized. Lineage: Eukaryota; Metazoa; Chordata; Mammalia; Dasyuromorphia; Dasyuridae. The record is from RefSeq and is a predicted model, not a curated record. The transcript is spliced from 3 exons.